UCAAACAUCAGCAGCACAUGACAUGAUCCCCAGUGUCGGGGUCUAGGAAAGCAGGGUAUUUACCGAGCAAGCCUUAUAUUGUACCUCCAGCACUGGCGUUGCUCAAGCUGUGCACAACGACGGAGAUCCUACAUACAUACUAGAACUCGUUGACACUUGACAGGCAGGAAGGGAAGGCUGGCAGCUACAAGCUCUUCACGGCU
This 203-nucleotide long non-coding RNA is filed under the name Hordeum vulgare. RNAcentral describes it as "long non-coding RNA (HVUL_LNC009941)". Lineage: Eukaryota; Viridiplantae; Streptophyta; Magnoliopsida; Poales; Poaceae. The record is from RNAcentral.